CACCACACCCCCAAGGGUACCCAGCAGUGAUAAAGAUUGCCUAUAAGCGUCAGCUUGAAUCAGUUAGAGAGAAGAGAGCCGGCCAAUUCGGUGCCAGCUGCCGCGGCUACACCGCUGGGCCCAAGAUGAUAAAAACCGGCGUUAAGCGUGAUUAAAGAAAACCAAAAUUAGAAUUAAAUUUAACUUUAACUGUAAUAAUCUUAUCUUACAGAAAUCCAUAAUCGAAAGUUAUUCUAAUAUAUCUUGAAUACACGACAGAUUGGAAACAAACUGGGAUUAGAUACCCCACUAUGCCAAACCGUAAAAAAUUAACCCACACCCACCAACGCCAGGGAACUACGAGCUUAAGCUUAAAACCCAAAGGACUUGACGGUGUCCCACCCAACUAGAGGAGCCUGUUCUAUAAUCGAUAAUCCACGAUACACCUAACCAUCUCUUGCUUCCAGCCUGUAUACCUCCGUCGUAAGCCUACCAUAUGAAUGCAUAGCAGUAGGCCCAAGGGCUAAACGCCACAACGUCAGGUCAAGGUGCAGCUCAUGACAUGGAAAGUAAUGGGCUACAAUUUCUAACUUAGAACAAACGAAACACUGCAUGAAACACAGUUAUGAAGGUGGAUUUAGUAGUAAAUAGGGAACAGAGAGCCCUAUUAAA
RNAcentral lists this ribosomal RNA (651 nucleotides) under Beddomixalus bijui. RNAcentral describes it as "partial 12S ribosomal RNA". It matches the Rfam family "Bacterial small subunit ribosomal RNA", at positions 329 to 1366 of the family's 1533-position model. Lineage: Eukaryota; Metazoa; Chordata; Amphibia; Anura; Rhacophoridae. The record is from RNAcentral.